RNAcentral lists this long non-coding RNA (28551 nucleotides) under Triticum aestivum (bread wheat). RNAcentral describes it as "long non-coding RNA (TAES_LNC021448)". The stretch from base 1357 to 1487 matches the Rfam family "MIR1120/MIR1122 microRNA precursor family". Lineage: Eukaryota; Viridiplantae; Streptophyta; Magnoliopsida; Poales; Poaceae. The record is from RNAcentral.
UCCUUUAUGUACAUCUUGGCGGCGUCUUGUUUUAGGUACCGGCAGCACCAAGGAGUUUCUUAGAAUCAUUGUUGUGCAAAAUUGGCCUGGCCGUUUCCUCUUCUUUUUUCAAUGGAGAAGCCGCUGCAGGUGCUUGUGGAUUACGUAUGAUACUCGCUCCCAGUGCAAGUUGUCUGGAGGUUUUUGAAGUCAACGGAAGGUUUCUGCGCUCAGCGAGUCAAACCAUGCAGACACCAUCAUGCCAAAGAAAUUGUUCAUAAGAAGUGCAUAUUUUCUUUUCAUUUCUCCCUUUUUGUAUUGUCAACUUUCUUAGCUACAUGACGGUGUUUGAGCUGUUGCUCACCUGCAUUCAUCACAAACGUAAUGUUCAAUUAUUCCUCCCCAUCAUGCCUGGCUCACAUGCUCUUCCAGAGCCUUAGAGCUGUACUAUCUGUGUGUGUGUGUGUGUGUGUGUGUGUACAUUUCAUGUACCCAUCUCUAUGACCAUGAUCACGCACACACACAUACACACUGACACACAUUUAUCCAUUUGUUAAGUGCAAGUGUGGAGCUCUCCACUGACUCGCUCGUCCCAUCAGCAGAUCUGGAGUGCCCAAUGAUGAUUGAUGAGCAGUAUCUCUAUGUGUGCAGCAGCAACACAUGCUUCCAGUAGCUUCCAUCACAUGCCCCAGGUCUCUGUGUCCCCUUCCUGCCCCUUUUCCCUUUCCCAAAUUCCUCUCCUGCAUCUGAAUCUGUGUACUGGUGCUGCAAACCUGAGGGCUCUCCAACCCAGCUGGUUAACUAGUCAGCUGCACACAGAAUUCGGAUCUGUGUUACAGUGGGCAGUGACACUGUCCACCCUCCAAUGUCACCCUGUCACCAUGUUCAGGGGAUGCAUCCAUGCAGCCAUCAUCACCAACACCAGCAAGAUGAUAUUUCUGUUGGUCACUUUCAGAGGCAAAUGCUGGUCACUUUCAGUCAGAGGAAAUGCAGCACCAUUUUGAUCUUGAGAUUGUUUUGUGGAUCCAAUGCAUCAGGCUAAGAAACAAAUCCAAGAUGUCAAAUGCUCCCCACCCAUCACUGCCCCAUUUUCACACAGCAGAAACCCCCAAACCAGCUGCAUGGAUCGGUGCCAGCCAGAAGAUACAAACAACACAGACAACACAUCAGAUUUGUCCCAAAGUACACUAAUAUUAAUUGGAACUUUGGAAGAUACUGCACUAGUACAUAAUGGUCCAUAGAUGCAGCAUGCAUGCACGCAUGUAUCCUACUCCCUCCAUUCCUAAAUAUAAGUUUUUUUAGAGAUUUCAAUAUGGACUACUCCAUACGAAGUAAAAUGAGUGAAUCUACAGUUUAAAAUACAUAUGUAUACAUCCAUAUGUACUCCCUCCGUUCCGAAUUACUUGUCUUAGAUUUGUCUAGAUACGGAGAUAUCUAGCACUAAAAUGAGUCUAGAUCCGUAUCUAGACAAAUUCAAGACAAGCAAUUCGGAACGGAGGGAAUAGUUCAUAUUGAAAUCUCUAAAAUGACUUGUACUCCCUCCGUUCUAAAUUACUCGUCGCAGAAAUGGAUGUAUCUAAAACUAAAAUACAUCUAGAUACAUUCAUACCUGCGACAAGUAACUCGGAACGGAGAGACUAUUUAGAAACGGAGGGAGUAGCAAAUUUUUUUUGAGCAAAAUUAUUAUUAGUAAGCUGUAUGUGCAUACACACACACACACACACCAGUGUCCAGCCCAUGAAUGAAUUGAAAUAAAAUGGAAGGGAUUGGUAGUCCAGCCAUGGAUGCCAAUUAUGUACUCGUUGGUCUGUCUCCAGCCAGCUGAGCUGAUCCCCCGGAAGACACGCACAUUAGUCCCACCUCGCCCAGCGGGGAGCUCAUCACCCACCUUAUCACCCGCAACCACCACGUCGUCCGUCCUCCCCUGCGCUAUAUAUCCCUCUCCCCCUCCACCUGCGCCUCCUCUCCUCCGUUCCCUUUUCUUCCUCAGCUCCGGCGGCAGCGAGCGUAAGAGCGGCGUGCGAGCUCCGGCGGCAGUAGCAGUGUGCGUGCAUGACGCGGCCGCUGCUGUAGUUUAGUUUACAGAGGUUUCUGCCGGCCAUGCAUGCGCAGAGGGUGAGCGGCGAGCAGGCGGGCCCGGCGAUGCCGUGCGAGAUCGCGGCGGACGACAUGCCGGCGGCGAGGAACGGGCACUACAGGCCGGGCAAGGCGGUGACGGCGUCGGUGUACCGCGCCAAGGUGGCCGGCCACUCGCGGGUGGUGACGGUGUCGUGGUCGCGGGACCUGCUGUCGCACGCCUUCGCCGUCGCCAUCUCCGGCGCGGACGGCGCGUCGGCGGAGUGCCGUGUCGACCUGCGGCCGUGGCAGUUCUGGCGGCGCGCGGGGUCCCGGCGCGUGGACCUGGGCGGCGCCACGGUGCGCGUGCUCUGGGACCUGCGCCGCGCGCGCUGGCACGGCGCCGGCGCGGGCCUCCCGGACCCGCGCGCCGGGUACUACGUCGCCGUGGAGGCCGGCGGCGAGGUGGCGCUGGUGCUCGGCGACCUCCGCAAGGCGGCGCUCCGGCGCGCGUCGCCCAGCGCCCCGCCCGCGCUCGCCGCCGUCCCCGUCGCGCGCAGGGAGCACGUGUUCGGCCGGCGGAGGUUCGCGGCCAAGGCGCGGUUCCACGACCAGGGCGCCGUCCACGACGUGGCCAUCGACGUCGGCGGCGAGGACGACAUGGAGAUGGCCAUCGCCAUCGACGGCGAGGAGGCGGUCGCCGUCAAGCACCUGCAGUGGAAGUUCCGGGGCAACCAGUCCGUCACCUUCGGCCGGGCCAAGGUGGAGGUGUACUGGGACGUGCACGACUGGCUCUUCGCGGGCGCCGCCGGCGGCGCCCGCCCGGCGCUCUUCAUCUUCCGCCCCAUCGUGUUGUCCAGCGCGUCCGUGGGGGCCUCCACGCCGCUCCUCGCCGGCGUCGACGGCGCCGCGGGCGCCACCGGGUUCUGCCUCUACCUCUACGCCUGGAAGCUCGACUGAUCGAUCCACAAUUCGUUCGAUCCAUCAUAGACAUUGUCCAUCCUCCUCCUUAUCAUCAUAAAACAAAAAUGUGAAACCAAGAUGAGUGCAACGUAGUAACAAUUUUCUCCGAUUUUGUAACUCUUUCUUGUUCCGGAAACGGCAUAAUUGAAUAUAAUUCUUUCAAAAACCACACAAACAUAGUGGUUCACUUCAAUUCAUUCCCCUGAAAUUUGCAUUGCUCAGCUCAAGUUCACUGAGUGAGCUCACAAUUUUGGAUGUAUACAUGUGUGUAAUUAGUAUGUGUGACACUGUAAUUAGUAGAUUGAUUAGUUAGGGAUUAGAGAGACACUGUGGGGUGGAAGGCACAUGGGGUGAGAGGGAGAGUGGGUUCCAGUGGUGUGGUGUAGCAGCAGCUGUGCAUGGACUGACUCAUCAGACUGACCGAUCAAGAGUGAGAGAGAGAAAAAUAUUGCCACCGCAAAAGGUGACAGAUUGGAUCCACCACCCUAAUCUGAUCAUGCUCAUGGCCCCAGAUGAAUUUUGAUUAGGUUUAUUGUUUCCUUGCCAAAUUCACACUAUCAUUGAUCUGGGGUAUCCUAUGUCUAUGUGAUGCCCUCUCACCUCUUCCUCCCCUUGACUUCUAAAAGCAAAAGUAGUAGUUAUAGUAAUGUUUAAUUUGUGCGAAUGUGAGUACUUUGGACAUGUUUUGAAAAAUGUGAGCUGGACCAGCAUGUGGACCAGCUUCAAUAUAGUUAUUUGACACAAAAAUUAUAUGUUGCCUGAUUUGUAUUGAAUAAUGUUUUUCUAACAAUUGAUAUAACUUUUGUGUUUUAUUGGUGCCUAACUGAUGGUCAAAUUUGAGUCUGGAAAUGUGCGGGCGCCUUUCAUGAGAAAGGGAACGGAGAGGUGAGAAUGUUCAAUUUACUUGAACAUGAGAGUUUCGGGGAGAAAACAAACAAUAUAUGGUACUUAAUGCGCCGCAAGAUUGUCAUGAGAAAUUUGCAAGGUUGUAUCUUCUUAUUUGUCCACACCCAUCCAUCUAUAUUAUCUCUAUGUGUAUGGAUGUGUAGGUCAGAUGCUAAAAGGCUGUAAGAUUCCACCAUGGGAAAACAAUGGAGCGAAAUGGAGGAUGAAUAAACAAUGUUGGUCCAUUUUGUUCCCUUGCUAGUAGGAGUAGCUUGCAUCUGCUGGAUAGCUGGUGCCAAUCAAUCAAAGAUUAGCUUCUCCGUUCAAAGAAAAGAUUAUGUUCUGGUUGGUGCCAUUUGUCUUCAAACUGUGUGUUCAACAAUAGCUAUGAAGGUAUGCAUAUAUAAAUCGCGCGAUAAUCAUUAAUAACACGAAACAAACACAAAAUAAAACGAGAGACCGAAAUUCCAACCUAGACGAUGCUUUGUCAAGAUGGCGAUGUUUUUCCACAGAAUAAUACUAUAUAUGAGAGGUGGGUGAGGACAAUUAUUUUACAUCAACACGAAUCCCGAGGCGCAAACUUCCAAAAACAUAAAUAAAUUAGCAUAUGACAGUUUACCUGUCGCUGGCCUCCCCCCCAUUGCCCCGGUCAAAAUUGUUCCGUAGCUGGUACAAUCUUGCUGAUUACUCAAUUAACACUUGGCGUAGAGUAUUAUUGUGCACAGCUCCAUGACAAGACAAUCCACUCCAGUGGGAUCCUGUGUUGCCUGAUUUCCUUGUCUCACCUCUCAUGCUUAUGCAGUGAACGAAGGCUUCUUAGACGAAAGACGUUGAACGUCCGGCUUCAAAUUAUUAAAGCCCUAGACGGCCAAAAAAAUACACGGAUCUUGAAAAGAAUUUACAAUACAACACAUAUGAUAAGCACACAAAACAGAAAGAAUAAUAUGUACAGUUUAAGAUGACGUCACCCUCCAAGCUCGAACAUCAUAGAAGAAGGCCGAAACAACACCAAAGGUGUACCCAACUGCCUUGAGGAUGAUCCUGUCAAUGCUUGCUUCAAGACACUAUGAAGACACCAUACUCCUUCCCUAGCCAAAGAGGGUCCCUUCCUCGAUCAUCUUGGUUAGACGGAUGUCGCACCAUUAGGCAAAGGAGGCGUUCACCCUGGAACUUGGAGAGGUGCAAGUCUCCAAGCCAGCAACGCGGAACAACGCGCGUAUGGCAGAGGAUGCCGGCCCACACCCCAGGAUGUCCCUGAUGCUGAAUCCAGGAAGGAUAGUACUCCAACCGUUUCAAAACAUAUGAAAUUCUAGAAUUGUCGCAAGUCCAACAUUUUUUAGUUUGACCAAGUCUAUAGAAGAAUAUAUCAACAUCUACGACAUCAAUCAUGUAUAGUAUGAAAAUAUAUUUCAUGAUGAAUCUAAUAACAAUAGUUUGAUUUUGUAGAUAUUAGAACAUUCUUCUAUAAAUUGGUCAAACUUAAAGAUGUUUGACCUAAGACAAAACCUAGAUCUCCAUGUAUUUUGGGAUGGAGGGAGUAUUUCUUACAUAGGAUCUUGGAGAGGUAGGGGUUAGGGAUGUGGGAGGAGUGCAACUCCCACAAGCGUCACCGUUGUCGUGGUCAACCAGAAAUCUAUUUUGGCCUUGAUCUCACACCACCAAGCCCCGCGUUCGGCAGAUCUAGCGACCAAAUAUAACAAGUGGUUAGAUCUCGUGGGGGUGGGCUGGAGGAGGAGAAAGGGCACACACCUUAAGAUCCGAUGAGGCAGCCCAUAGACCACUCACCUCUCCCCCAAGGCAUUACCGCCCGCAUGGCGAAGGGGAUGGACUCUGCGCUGCUGUCUGCGACCGCGCGGCGGCAGACUGGCGAGGGCGGCGAGCAGUAGGAGGUACGUGCGUGGGGGGGGGGCAACGAGUGAAUAAUUUUUCAUCCCUCGGCUAAAUGUUCCGCCGGCAGCCCCCCAAGGGGCGAAAAAAUGCCUCCUGGGGGGCUCAACGGCUGGAGAUGCUCUAAGGUUGCCACCUCGGCGCCCAAAGACCCCUCCGUCUGAGCAGCUGAGAAGCUGAAGCCUCGCUGCCGCCCUGACCGGUGGCUGCAUGGGCAUUCCGGUGGCUGCCGCUGUCUUCACAAGGNNNNNNNNNNNNNNNNNNNNNNNNNNNNNNNNNNNNNNNNNNNNNNNNNNNNNNNNNNNNNNNNNNNNNNNNNNNNNNNNNNNNNNNNNNNNNNNNNNNNNNNNNNNNNNNNNNNNNNNNNNNNNNNNNNNNNNNNNNNNNNNNNNNNNNNNNNNNNNNNNNNNNNNNNNNNNNNNNNNNNNNNNNNNNNNNNNNNNNNNNNNNNNNNNNNNNNNNNNNNNNNNNNNNNNNNNNNNNNNNNNNNNNNNNNNNNNNNNNNNNNNNNNNNNNNNNNNNNNNNNNNNNNNNNNNNNNNNNNNNNNNNNNNNNNNNNNNNNNNNNNNNNNNNNNNNNNNNNNNNNNNNNNNNNNNNNNNNNNNNNNNNNNNNNNNNNNNNNNNNNNNNNNNNNNNCACGUCGUGCCUCGGGACGCGAGGGCUGACGCGGUUGUUUGAUCAUUGUAGUGAAUGAAACACUUCAAUGUAAUAGAUCAAGAGUCCACAAUGCUGCAGUCAAAUAUGAAUUGUGUGCAUCUUAGCGACGCAGACACCAAAAGAGAACACACAAUCACUUUGUCCAAAAAUGCUCCAAGCAAAAAAGGGUCAGAAGGUACUGAUCAGUUAAGCACCACAGUCACAGCGCAGGCAUGCGGGCACAUGCUUGCACUACACUGGUCCAUACACACUAGAUGCAGUUUAAUUAACUUGAUCUGUGGACUAACCGGCCUAAAGCUAAGUAGCUAGCUUAGGCCGAAGGAGUGUGAAUGAAUGAACGAGUGAGCUAGCUUAGUUUGGGGCGAUAGAUGCGCAUGUCUUGUGCCCGGGAUCAGCGGACAGGUCCAGGGGUCUACUCUACAACUGCACGAUUGCAACAACCAUACUUUUCUUGCAUGGCCAUGUGCGGCCACCCUGUUUUGCCGCCACAAAUCACAAGGAUGCAUAUGUAGCCUUGUCCUCAUCCUCUCAUACUAGUGAGUACUAGUACGACUGUUGACAUGUAUGUGUGUAUAUUUCGUAGGCGGCAUUGACAUGUGUGGCUGCCUGCUACCUGCUAGUAGCUCACACGCCACUCUCGUCUUCACGCAACCAUGCAUCUACCGUAUGCAUGGAACUUCCCGCAGACAUAUGUGUAGUAGUUUAAUUUAUAGUAGUAGUACAUAUAUACGCCAUGCCAUUGCAUGGUCAUAUAUAUAUAUAUAUAUAUAUAUAUAUAUAUAUAUAUGUAUGUAUGUAUGUAUGUAUGUAUAUGAAGAUGCCUAUUAUUCUUAUAUAUACGUGUAUAUAUACUUGUAUGUCAAUGGAAAUGGAGAUCAAUGAUAAAAUAAAUAUGAUGUGAUGCGUAAGAGCAUCUACAAAUAAAUAUGAUGUGAUGUGCAAGAGCAUCUACAAACGCAUAUGACAAUAUGACCCCACAAACGCCCACGGUCGCGCCCGGGCGCAACCCGUGACAGUGACCGGGCACUCCUCAAAUUAGCACAACUGCAUCCAGACAUCUCAUACUAGAUACUUAAAUCCAUACAAAAGCAUGCAAACGAUAAAACCUACGUACUACGUAAAGAUCUAGGCAUCUAGCUACUCCUCGUCGGAGAUGUCGACAAUCUCCGUUCCCGGCUCCGGCAACAUGGGCGGUAGCUGCAGCUCCUGAGCCUUCGGCUGCUCCGCUCCGGCUUCCUCCUCCUCUAUCUCUGCGUCGAGUUCGGCGAAGAGUGCGUCGGACGCAGCCUGCUCCUGCCGAAGGCACUGUUGGUUGGCCUCCACAUAUGCCUCAUCCCGGAUGGACUCCAGAAUGGCCUGCUGCUCUGCCAUCUCCGUGGCUUGGGCUACGACGAACUCCGCCUCCGCCUCUCCCAUGUUGAACCCCUGCUCCGGCAGCUCCGCCUUGUGCUCUUUCGGAUCCGCCACCUCCAUCGGCUCUCCCUCCUCCUCCUUCGGCUACUGCUCAUCCUCCUUCUCUGGCUCCAGCGAGUCCGGAGGUAGCCCGACAGCGAUGCGGGCGGAGCGCCUUGCCUGGAUCUCCUCUGUGAUCUGCCUCCGAAGCUCCGGCAUGAGCAUAGCAUACGUGGUGAUCAGCCGCUGGACCAUGGUGAUGCCGGAGAGUGUGGGAGAGCGGGGGAGAGGAGGCGUACGGGCUCGAGUGGCGGUGCAGAGAGGGAGGAGGUGGAUGGGCUAGGGUUGGGGACGCUGGCUGGCUUAAAUAACCGAAUUUGAUCUCGGGCGGCGAGCCGGAGCGGCGCCACGUGGCGUUCACACUGCGGCGACGGAGGAGGCAUCCGUCGGACCGCCGGGUUUCCGGGCGUGUUCGCGUGAGACCCCAUCGACAGUCCUACGUGGCGGACGUGCCCGGACGCCCCAUAUCCGCCCCAUAUUUGAGUUGGAUAUGAGGGGUGCCGGUCAACCCAGGCGUUUGAGGCCCGUUUAGUUCGAAAAAAUCAUGACCGGGCAGCCCGUCCAGGCAUAUGAGGCAGGUUUGGACGGCUGUAGAUACUCUAAGAUUAUAAGGGAGAAGUACCCAAGGAGCACGUAGCUAGCUGUUUUCCACCAAAUUAAAGGAAAUGGGGUAGCAUGGCAUGGGGUCGUGCUUUUCUUAGUUUGGACCAUUUGUCACUAACACGUCGCCCCCUUGCCUUUUUUGCAUUUCGGGCUCUUCCUUCUUUUGAGCAAAAAAAGCCAGAAAGUGCUGGUUUUCUUUGUGUGUGGUGAUCUGUUUUUGUUGCCCAAGAGAUCUGAUUCGGUCCAAAGCAUGCAAUCACUGUAGCCAUUGCUCAUUCUCGGUGAAGUGAGCUCCUAACUGGCAGUGCAAGCCUUGGAAGGCAUUGAUACUGAUUACUUCUCCAUUGCUUUAUUUUGAGAGAGAGAUAUGCGCUGCAUACGGUCCACCUCAAAAAAGAAAAAAAAUGUUUUUUUAGUUUAAGCACGCCCCACUUUAUUUAAUUAAUAAAGUUCAUUGGGAUACAAUGGAUAUUGGGGGCCUGAAGGAGGCAAAGAUGACGGCCCUCGGGAAUACCUAGAGCGUAUUUAGUGAGGCUAUGCGCCUCAAUAUUGGACGUUCUUCCUUCGAAGAUGAAGGAACAUGAGUGAAACUCGGCGGACAUCACCAGAAUUUCCUUAAUGAUGCUUCCGUUCUUCCUCCUGCACUUGAUUUGAUAUCAUCAAUGACUUGCUUGCAUUCUGAUGCGACGAUCGAUGAUAUCUUGGAGCCGCAGGUCCUUGGCCAGUGCAAGUGCCUCUCGGCAGGCCAUGCCUCAAGUGUAUCAGGAUCGAUCACACCUUGCUGUCUGAUGGCUGAAGCUCCAACAUAGAGGUCAACAUCAUUUCUGCAAACUGCCGAGCAAGACCCAAAGGCAUCAGUUCUAUGAAUGACACCAUCUACCUUCAACAUUGCAUAACCUGAAGGAGGAGUGGUCCAUGUAGUCCUCGACGGAACCUGGGAGGCUACACUUCUGGUAGUUGGUGGUUGCUUGCACGUCUUAAGGCCCGAGUGAAUUGCAGAAAACCACCACAUUAGCGCAUAGGUUUGUAGAAAAGACUCUUUUACGAAUUUAGGCCAGAAACCAUUAAUUUUCGGUCUAAUCUUUUGCAAAAAACACCGAUCAGUCUAUUUGGACAUUUUAAUUGCGAUUAUGACAUGUGGGGCCACCAUUUGCUGACGUGGCGUACCAUUCAUUAGACAAGGUAUUUUUUUGCCAAAAACUCCUCCCUCUCUCGAAAAAUCUCCCUCCUGAAGGAAAUAUGCCCUAGAGGCAAUAAUAAAGUUAUUAUUUAUUUCCUUAUAAUCAUGAUAAAUGUUUAUUAUUCAUGCUAGAAUUGUAUUAACCGGAAACAUAAUACAUGUGUGAAUACAUAGACAAACAAAGUGUCACUAGUAUGCCUCUACUUGACUAGCUCGUUAAUCAAAGAUGGUUAUGUUUCCUAACCAUGAACAAUGAGUUGUUAUUUGAUUAACGAGGUCACAUCAUUAGUUGAAUGAUCUGAUUGACAUGACCCAUUCCAUUAGCUUAGCACACGAUCGUUUAGUAUGUUGCUACUGCUUUCUUCAUGACUUAUACAUGUUCCUAUGACUAUGAGAUUAUGCAACUCCCGUUUGCCGGAGGAACACUUUGGGUGCUACCAAACGUCACAAGUAACUGAGUGAUUAUAAAGGAGCAUUACAGGUGUCUCCAAAGGUAGAUGUUGGGUUGGCGUAUUUCGAGAUUAGGAUUUGUCACUUCAAUUGUCGGAGAGGUAUCUCUGGGCCCUCUCGGUAAUACACAUCACAUAAGCCUUGCAAGCAUUACAACUAAUAUGUUAGUUGUGAGAUGAUGUAUUACGGAACGAGUAAAGAGACUUGCCGGUAACGAGAUUGAACUAGGUAUUGGAUACCAACGAUCGAAUCUCGGGCAAGUAACAUACCGAUGACAAAGGGAACAACGUAUGUUGUUAUGCGGUCUGACCGAUAAAGAUCUUCGUAGAAUAUGUAGGAGCCAAUAUGGGCAUCCAGGUCCCGCUAUUGGUUAUUGACCGGAGACAUGUCUCGGUCAUGUCUACAUUGUUCUCGAACCCGUAGGGUCCGCACGCUUAAGGUUACGAUGACAGUUAUAUUAUGAGUUUAUGCAUUUUGAUGUACCGAAGGUUGUUCGGAGUCCCGGAUGUGACCACGGACAUGAUGAGGAGUCUCGAAAUGGUCGAGACGUAAAGAUUGAUAUAUUGGAAGCCUAUAUUUGGAUAUCGGAAGUGUUCCGGGUGAAAUCGGGAUUUUACCGGGUUACCGGGAGGUUACCGGAACCCCCCGGGAGCCAUAUGGGCCUUCAUGGGCCUUAGUGGAAAGGUGAAAGGGCUGCCCACAAGGGCUGCGUGCCUCCCCCCUUUCCCUAGUCCUAUUAGGACUAGGAGAGGUGGCCGGCCACCCUUCUCCCUCUUUCCCACUUGGGGAGUCCUAGUUGGAAUAGGAUUGGGGGGGAGUCCUACUCCCGGAAGGAGUAGGAUUCCUCCUGCGCCCUCUCCUCCUGGCCGGCGCCCCCUCCCCCCUUGUCUCCUUUAUAUACUGAGGUAGAGGCACCCCAAAGACACACAAGUUGAUCCACGUGAUCUAUUCCUUAGCCGUGUGCGGUGCCCCCUGCCACCAUAUACCUCGAUAAUACUGUAGCGGAGUUUAGGCGAAGCCCUGCUGCUGUAGUUCAUCAAGAUCGUCACCACGCCGUCGUGCUGACGGAACUCUUCCCCGAAACUUUGCUGGAUCGGAGUCCGGGGAUCGUCAUCGAGCUGAAUGUGUGCUUGAACUCGGAGGUGCCGUAGUUUCGGUGCUUGAUCGGUUGGAUCGUGAAGACGUACGACUACUUCCACUACGUUGUGUGAUCGCUUCCGCAGUCGGUCUGCGUUGGGUACGUAGACAACACUCUCCCCCUCGUUGCUAUGCAUCACAUGAUCUUGCGUGUGCGUAGGAAAUUUUUUGAAAUUACUACGAAACCCAACAGUGGCAUCCGAGCCAGGUUAUUUAUGUUGAUGUUAUAUGCACGAGUAGAACACAAGUGAGUUGUGGACGAUACAAGUCAUACUGCCUACCAGCAUGUCAUACUUUGGUUCGGCGGUAUUGUUGGACGAGACGACCCGGACCAACAUUACGCGUACGCUUACGCGAGACCGGUUCUCCCGACGUGCUUUGCACACAGGUGGCUUGCGGGCGACUGUCUCUCCAACUUUAGUUGAACCAAGUAUGGCUACGCCCGGUCCUUGCGAAGGUUAAAACGGAGUCUAUUUGACAAAGUAUCGUUGUGGUUUUGAUGCGUAGGUGAGAUUGGUUCUUACUUAAGCCCGUAGCAGCCACGUAAAACAUGCAACAACAAAGUAGAGGACGUCUAACUUGUUUUUGCAGGGCAUGUUGUGAUGUGAUAUGGUCAAGGCAUGAUGCUGAAUUUUAUUGUAUGAUAUGAUCAUGUUUUGUAACCGAGUUAUCGGCAACUGGCAGGAGCCAUAUGGUUGUCGCUUUAUUGUAUGCAAUGCAAUCGCGAUGUAAUAUUACUAAACGGUAGUGAUAGUCGUGGAAGCAUAAGAUUGGCGAGACGACAACGAUGCUACGAUGGAGAUCAAGGUGUCGCGCCGGUGACGAUGGUGAUCAUGACGGUGCUUCGGAGAUGGAGAUUACAAGCACAAGAUGAUGAUGGCCAUAUCAUAUCACUUAUAUUGAUUGCAUGUGAUGUUUAUCUUUUUAUGCAUCUUAUCUUGCUUUGAUUGACGGUAGCAUUAUAAGAUGAUCUCUCACUAAAUUAUCAAGAAGUAUUCUCCCUGAGUAUGCACCGUUGCCAAAGUUCGUCGUGCCCAGACACCACGUGAUGAUCGGGUGUGAUAAGCUCUACGUUCAAAUUCAACGGGUGCAAAACAGUUGCACACGCGGAAUACUCAGGUUAUACUUGACGAGCCAAGCAUAUACAGAUAUGGCCUCGGGAACACGGAGAUCGAAAGGUCGAGCGUGAAUCAUAUAGUAGAUAUGAUCAACAUAAUGAUGUUCACCGAUGAAACUACUCCAUCUCACGUGAUGAUCGGACAUGGUUUAGUUGAUUUGGAUCACGUGAUCACUUAGAGGAUUAGAGGGAUGUCUAUCUAAGUGGGAGUUCUUAAAGUAAUAUGAUUAAUUGAACUUAAAUUUAUCAUGAACUUAGUCCUAGUAGUAUUUUGCAAAUUAUGUUGUAGAGCAAUAGCUCGCGUUAUUGCUUUCAUAUGUUUAUUUUGAUAUGUUCCUAGAGAAAAAAUGUGUUGAAAGAUGUUAGUAGCAAUGAUGCGGAUUGGAUCCGUGAUCUGAGGUUUAUCCUCAUUGCUGCACAGAAAAAUUAUGUCCUUGAUGCACCGCUAGGUGACGGGCCUAUUACAGGAGCAGAUGCAGACGUUAUGAACGUUUGGCUAGCUCAAUAUGAUGACUACUUGAUAGUUUAGUGCACCAUGCUUAACAGCUUAGAAUCGGGACUUCAAAGACGUUUUGAACGUCAUGGACCAUAUGAGAUGUUCCAGGAGUUGAAGUUAAUAUUUCAAGCAAAUACCCGAGUUGAGAGAUAUGAAGUCUCCAACAAGUUCUAUAGCUAAAAGAUGGAGGAGAAUCGCUCAACUAGUGAGCAUGUGCUCAGAUUGUCUGGGUACUACAAUCGCUUGAAUCAAGUGGGAGUUAAUCUUCCAGAUAAGAUAGUGAUUGACAGAAUUCUCUAGUCACCAUCACCAAGUUAGUAGAACUUCGUGAUGAACUAUAGUAUGCAAGGGAUGACGAAAACGAAUCCCGAGCUUUUCAUGAUGAUGAAAUCGAUGAAGGUAGAAAUCAAGAAAGAGCAUCAAGUAUUGACAAGAUCACUAGUUUCAAUAAAAGGGCAAAGGGAAGAAGGGGAACUUCAAGAAGAACGCCAAGCAAGUUGCUGCUCAAGUGAAGAAGCCCAAGUCUGGUCCUAAGCCUGAGACUAAGUGCUUCUACUGCAAAGGGACUGAUCACUGGAAGCGGAACUGCCCCAAGUAUUUGGCGGAUAAGAAGGAUGGCAAAGUGAACAAAAGUAUAUUUGAUAUACAUAUUAUUGAUGUGUACUUUACUAGUGUUUAUAGCAACCCCUCAGUAUUUGAUACUGGAUCAGUUGCUAAGAUUAGUAACUCGAAACGGGAGUUGCAGAAUAAACAGAGACUGGUUAAGGGUGAAGUGACGAUGUGUGUUGGAAGUGGUUCCAAGAUUGAUAUGAUCAUCAUCGAACACUCCCCUAUACUUUUGGGAUUAGUGUUGAACCUAAAUAAGUGUUAUUUGGUUUUUGCGUUAAGCAUGAAUAUGAUUUGAUCAUGUUUAUUGCAAUACGGUUAUUCAUUAAAGUCAGAGAAUAAUUGUUGUUCUGUUUAAAUGAAUAAAACCUUAUAUGGUUACACACCCAAUGAAAAUAGUUCAUUGGAUCUCGAUCUUAAUGAUACACAUAUUCAUAAUAUUGAAACCAAAAAGAUGCGAAGUUAAUAAUGAUAGUGCAACUUAUUUGUGGCACUGCCGUUUAGGUCAUAUUGGUGUAAAGCGCAUGAAGAAACUCCAUGCUGAUGGGAUUUUGGAAUCACUUGAUUAUGAAUCACUUGAUGCUUGCGAACCAUGCCUCAUGGGCAAGAUGACUAAGACUCCGUUCUCCGGAGCGAGCAACUGACUUAUUGGAAAUAAUACAUACUGAUGUAUGCGGUCCGAUGAGUGUUAAGGCUCACGGCAAGUAUCGUUAUUUUCUGAACUUCACAGAUGAUUUGAGCAGAUAUGAGUAUAUCUACUUGAUGAAACAUAAGUUUGAAACACUUGAAAAGUUCAAAGAAUUUCAGAGUGAAGUGGAAAAUCAUCGUGACAAGAAAAUAAAGUUUCUACGAUCUGAUCGCAGAGACAAAUAUUUGAGUUACGAGUUUGGUCUUCAAUUAAAACAAUGUGGAAUAGUUUCACAAACUCAUGCCACAUGGAACACCACAACAUAAUGGUGUGACCAAACGUCAUAACCGUACUUUAUUGGAUAUAGUGCAAUCUAUGAUGUCUCUUACCGAUCUACCACUAUCGUUUUGGGGUUAUGCAUUAGAGACAGCUGCAUUCACGUUAAAUAGGGCACCAUCUAAAUCCGUUGAGACGACACCGUAUGAACUAUGGUUUGGCAAGAAACCUAAGCUGUCGUUUCUUGAAGUUUGGGGUUGCGAUGCUUAUGUGAAAAAGUUUCAUCCUGAUAAGCUCAAACUCAAAUCGAAGAAGUGCGUCUUCAUAGGAUAUCCAAAGGAAACUAUUGGAUACACCUUCUAUCACAGAUCCGAAGGCAAGACAUUCGUUGCUAAGAAUGGAUCCUUUCUAGAGAAGGAGUUUCUCUCGAAAGAAGUGAGUGGGAGGAAAGUAGAACUAGACGAGGUAAUUGUACCUGCUCCCUUACUGGAAAGUAGUUCAUCACAGAAAACUGUUUCAGUGACACCUACACCAGUUAGUGAGGAAGUUAAUGAUAAUGAUCAUGAAACUUCAGAUCAAGAUACUACUGAACCUCGUAGAUCAACCAGAGUAAGAUCCGCGCCAGAGUGGUACGGUAAUCUUGUUCUGGAAGUCAUGCUACUAGAUCAUGAUGAACCUACGAACUAUGAAGAAGCGAUGGUGAGCCCAGAUUCCGCAAAGUGGCUUGAAGCCAUGAAAUCUGAGAUGGGAUCCAUGUAUGAGAACAAAGUAUGGACUUUGGUUGACUUGCCCGAUGAUCGGCAAGCAAUUGAGAAUAAAUGGAUCUUUAAGAAGAAGACUGACGCUGAUGGUAAUGUUACUGUCUACAAAGCUAGAAUUGUCGCAAAAGGUUUUUGACAAGUUCAAGGUGUUGAAUACGAUGAGAGUUUCUCACUCGUAUCUAUGCUUAAGUCUGUCCGAAUCAUGUUAGCAAUUGCCGCAUUUUAUGAAAUCUGGCAAAUGGAUAAACAAAACUGCAUUCCUUAAUAGAUUUAUUAAAGAAGAGUUGUAUAUGAUACAACCAGAAGGUUUUGUCAAUCCUAAAGGUGCUAACAAAAUAUGCAAGCUCCAGCGAUCCAUCUAUGGACUGGUGCAAGCAUCUCGGAGUUGGAAUAUACGCUUUGAUAAGUUGAUCAAAGCAUAUAGUUUUAUACAGACUUGCGAUGAAGUCUGUAUUUACAAGAAAGUGAGUGGGAGCACUACAAUAUUUCUGAUAAGUAUAUGUGAAUGACAUAUUAUUGAUCGGAAAUAAUGUAGAAUUAUUCUGUAAAGCAUAAAGGAGUGUUUGAAAGGAGUUUUUCAAAGAAAGACUUCGGUGAAGCUGCUUACAUAUUGAGCUUCAAGAUCUAUAGAGAUAGAUCAAGACGCUUGAUAAGUUUUUCAAUGAGUACAUACCUUGACAAGAUUUUGAAGUAGUUCAAAAUGGAACAGUCAAAGAAAAGUUUCUUGCCUGUAUAACAAGGUGUGAAGUUGAGUAAGACUCAAAGCCCGACCACGGCAGAAGAUAGAAAAAGAAUGAAAGUCAUUCCCUAUGCCUUGGCCAUAGGUUCUAUAAAGUAUGUCAUGCUGUGUACCAGAUCUAUUGUAUACCCUGCACUGAUUUGGCAAGGGAGUACAAUAAUGAUCUAGGAGUAGAUCACUGGACAGCGGUCAAAAUUAUCCUUAGUGGAAUAAGGAUAUGUUUCUCGAUUAUGGAGGUGAAAAAAAGGGUUCGCCGUAAAGGGUUACGUCGAUACAAGUUUUGACACAGAUCUGGAUGACUCUAAGUCUUGAUCUCGAUACAUAUUGAAAGUGGGAGCAAUUAGCUAGAGUAGCUCCGUGCAGAGCAUUGUUGACAUAAAUAUUUGCAAAAUACUUACGGAUCUGAAUGUGACAGACCCGUUGACUAAGAUUCUCUCACAAGCAAAACAUGAUCACACCUUAGUACUCCUUGGGUGUUAAUCACAUAGCGAUGUGAACUAGAUUACUGAAUCUAGUAAACCCUUUGGGUGUUGAUCACAUAUCGAUGUGAAGUAUGGGUGUUAAUCACAUGGUGAUGUGAACUAUUGCUGUUAAAUCACAUGGCGAUGUGAACUAGAUUAUUGACUCUAGUGCAAGUGGGAGACUGAAGGAAAUAUGCCCUAGAGGCAAUAAUAAAGUUAUUAUUUAUUUCCUUAUAAUCAUGAUAAAUGUUUAUUAUUCAUGCUAGAAUUGUAUUAACCGGAAACAUAAUACAUGUGUGAAUACAUAGACAAACAAAGUGUCACUAGUAUGCCUCUACUUGACUAGCUCGUUAAUCAAAGAUGGUUAUGUUUCCUAACCAUGAACAAUGAGUUGUUAUUUGAUUAACGAGGUCACAUCAUUAGUUGAAUGAUCUGAUUGACAUGACCCAUUCCAUUAGCUUAGCACACGAUCGUUUAGUAUGUUGCUACUGCUUUCUUCAUGACUUAUACAUGUUCCUAUGACUAUGAGAUUAUGCAACUCCCGUUUGCCGGAGGAACACUUUGGGUGCUACCAAAUGUCACAACGUAACUGAGUGAUUAUAAAGGAGCAUUACAGGUGUCUCCAAAGGUAGAUGUUGGGUUGGCGUAUUUCGAGAUUAGGAUUUGUCACUCCAAUUGUCGGAGAGGUAUCUCUGGGCCCUCUCGGUAAUACACAUCACAUAAGCCUUGCAAGCAUUACAACUAAUAUGUUAGUUGUGAGAUGAUGUAUUACGGAACGAGUAAAGAGACUUGCCGGUAACGAGAUUGAACUAGGUAUUGGAUACCGACGAUCGAAUCUCGGGCAAGUAACAUACCGAUGACAAAGGGAACAACGUAUGUUGUUAUGCGGUCUGACCGAUAAAGAUCUUCGUAGAAUAUGUAGGAGCCAAUAUGGGCAUCCAGGUCCCGCUAUUGGUUAUUGACCGGAGACAUGUCUCGGUCAUGUCUACAUUGUUCUCGAACCCGUAGGGUCCGCACGCUUAAGGUUACGAUGACAGUUAUAUUAUGAGUUUAUGCAUUUUGAUGUACCGAAGGUUGUUCGGAGUCCCGGAUGUGAUCACGGACAUGACGAGGAGUCUCGAAAUGGUCGAGACGUAAAGAUUGAUAUAUUGGAAGCCUAUAUUUGGAUAUCGGAAGUGUUCCGGGUGAAAUCGGGAUUUUACCGGGUUACCGGGAGGUUACCGGAACCCCCCGGGAGCCAUAUGGGCCUUCAUGGGCCUUAGUGGAAAGGUGAAAGGGCUGCCCACAAGGGCUGCGCGCCUCCCCCCUUUCCCUAGUCCUAUUAGGACUAGGAGAGGUGGCCAGCCACCCUUCUCCCUCUUUCCCACUUGGGGAGUCCUAGUUGGAAUAGGAUUGGGGGGAGUCCUACUCCCGGAAGGAGUAGGACUUCUCCUGCGCCCUCUCCUCCUGGCCGGCGCCCCCUCCCCCCUUGGCUCCUUUAUAUACUGAGGUAGAGGCACCCCAAAGACACACAAGUUGAUCCACGUGAUCUAUUCCUUAGCCAUGUGCGGUGCCCCCUGCCACCAUAUACCUCGAUAAUAUUGUAGCGGAGUUUAGGCGAAGCCCUGCUGCUGUAGUUCAUCAAGAUCGUCACCACGCCGUUGUGCUGACGGAACUCUUCCCCGACACUUUGCUGGAUCGGAGUCCGGGGAUCGUCAUCGAGCUGAACGUGUGCUCGAACUCGGAGGUGCCAUAGUUUCGGUGCUUGAUCGGUUGGAUCGUGAAGACGUACGACUACUUCCACUACGUUGUGUGAUCGCUUCCGCAGUCGGUCUGCGUUGGGUACGUAGACAACACUCUCCCCCUUGUUGCUAUGCAUCACAUGAUCUUGCGUGUGCGUAGGAAUUUUUUUGAAAUUACUACGAAACCCAACACCUCCCUCCCGAGAUCCAGGGCGUGCUCGUCCUCGCCGUCGUGGUCCACGGGAUCCAGGACACCGGGGAAAGCAGCGGCGCAGCACGGCCCCUCGUCGCUGGCGACCCCAAGCCAGCAGCGCACCCGCGCGUACGACCCAUCCGCUGCAUCCUCCUCUGGCGGCCGUCCUACCACCGCCCGAUGAGGACGCGGCAUCACCGGCCGACGGUGACACGCCGCCCUCUUCCCCCUCUGGGCGCUGUGGCCAUGGCUGACGACGACGGAAACCACGGGAUUGGCGGCGGCUGUGGUGCAGCAGCCGCUGGAGUCGUCGUCGGAACUGGCGGGGUUGUACUACCCGCAGGCGUCUAGGGGACAGGAGUGGACCACGAGGGUUGACCCGUGCACGGCCUGGGCGCAGGGUCGCGAGCACCGCUGCCUCCUCGACAGACCCGUGCAUGGCCUGGCGGUGACCGGCGACCCUGUGUUCGCAUUCCAGGUGGGUGACCGCGGGUGACCCCGACAGAUCCAGGUGGGUGCUCGGGAUGGCCGAGGAACUCCAGGCCACGGAGGUUCAUCGCGCGGGGGAGGCCGGUCCAAAGGGGCAGGCGGAUGCGUUCUUCCACCGGCGAGCUCGGGCUGCCACAAGGACGGCGGCGACGGACGGCUCUGCGGCGGGCCAUGCUCGAGGUCUGAGCAACUAGCCAACGACGGCGAGCAAGCAGCAGGAGCGGCGCACAGCACGGGCGCAUCCAAGCAGGAACCCUCGCCGGUGAGCUCCGCCGCCCCCGGGGCACCGGCGUGGACAAGAGCGCACGAGCGCGGGAUGGCCGGCGGCAGAGUAUGUCUGAGCUGGGUAUGACAAGGGCCUAAUUGCAUUUUUGUUUUCAGAUUGAAGGGUGCCUCUGUAAAAAUACCAGGAACUGACAGUUAUGAUACAUCAUCAAAUAUAGGCCCCACAUGUCAUAAUCACGGUUAAAAUGUCCAAAUAGACCUAUCAGUGUUUUUUGCAAAAGAUUAGGCCAAAAAUCAGUGGUUUCUGGCCCAAAUUCGUAAAAGAGUCUUUUCUGCAAACCUAUGCGCUAAUGUGGUGGUUUUCUAUAAUUCACUCUAAGGCCCCGUACAUAACUAUUUGCUUGCACUUCUUAUGGCUCCGUAGAAAAUUAUUUACAAAUUAGUGAGUAGCUUGCGGGUUCCGGAAGUCAUUUUCGUUUUUUAGGGCAAAACUAAGCUUUAUUGAUGAUAAUCCACAUGGAGUGGGAUACAAAUCGGAUUGUAGGGGUUAACCAACAAGUGUGGCGCCCCGCACCGACAGAAAGUGCAUGCUUAGCUAAACUAUGGGCUUCGCCUUUCAAAGAGCGGCUUUCAAACACAAAAUUACAAGUGAAAUCCGAAGAACAAAGUUUAAUUUCUGUGAUCACAGAACCAUAAGUGCCCUGGUUGCCAAGAUUGAUGUCGUCAACAACCCGCUUGCAAUCUGAAGCGAUGAUUAAAUUCAUGACGAGAAGAUCCUCCGCCAGAGCAAGGCCUUCACAACACGCUAUUGCUUCCAACGUGGGCGGAUCCGUUAUCCCUAGAACGAUAAGUGCCGAACUUCUCAUAUAGUUACCCGCCUGAUCACGGCAGACAGCCACCGUGACACCUCGCCGGUUGCGUAGAACAGCGCCAUCUACAUGGAUCUUGACGUAUCCCACCGGUGGCGCUUUGGGUCUUGCAUGUGCUGUCACAUUUGCCCGAGGGGCAACUGAUACGUCUCCAUCGUAUCUAUAAUUUUUGAUUGUUCCAUGCCAAUAUUAUUCAAUUUUCAUAUACUUUUUGGCAACUUUUUAUAUUAUUUUUGGGACUAACAUAUUCAUCCAGUGCCAGUUCCUGUCUGUUGCAUGUUUUUGGUUUCGUAGAAUAUCCAUAUCAAACGGAGUCCAAAUGGGAUAAAAACAGACGGAGCUUAUUUUUGGAAAAUAUGGAAAAUUCGAAAGGAAAAUCAACGCGAACCAGUGCCCGAGGUGGUCACGAGGCAGGGGGCACCCCCCUAGGGCGCGGCCCCUACCCUCGUGAGCCCACCGUAAGGCGGUUGACGCUCUUCUUUUGCCACAAGAAAGCUAAUAUUCGGAAAAAAAUCACGGCGAAGGUUUCAGGCAAUCGCAGUUACGGAUCUCCAUAUAUACACGAAACGGUGAAAUAGAGCCGGAACAGAACGCAGAACCAGAGAGAGACAGAGAGACAGAUCCAAUCUCGGAGGGUCUCUCGCCCCUCCCACGCCAUGAAGGCCAUGGACCAGAGUGGAAACCCUUCUCCCAUCUAGCGAGGAGGUCAAGAAAGAAGAAGAAGGAGGGGGGCUCUCUCCCCCUCGCUUCCGGUGGCACCGGAGUGCCACCGGGGGCCAUCAUCGUCACCACGAUCUACACCAACACCUCCGCCAUCUUCACCAACAUCUCCAUCACCUUCCCCCCUCUAUCUACAGCGGUCCACUCUCCCGCAACCCGCUGUACCCUCUACUUGAACAUGGUGCUUUAUACUUCAUAUUAUUAUCCAAUGAUGUGUUGCCAUCCUAUGAUGUCUGAGUAGAUUUUCGUUGUCCUAUCGGUGGUUGAUGAAUUGCUAUGAUUGAUUUAACUUGCUUGUGGUUAUGUUGCUGUCCUUUGGUGCCCAUCAUAUGAUUGCGCGCGUGGAUCACACCCUAGGGUUAGUUGUACAUUGAUAGGACUAUGUAUUGGAGGGCAAGAGUGACGGAAGCUUCAACCUAGCAUAGAAAUUGAUGCAUACGGUGAAGGAAAUAUGCCCUAGAGGCAAUAAUAAAGUUAUUAUUUAUUUCCUUAUAUCAUGAUAAAUGUUUAUUAUUCAUGCUAGAAUUGUAUUAACCGGAAACAUAAUACAUGUGUGAAUACAUAGACAAACAGUAUGUCACUAGUAUGCCUCUACUUGACUAGCUCGUUGAAUCAAAGAUGGUUAAGUUUCCUAGCCAUAGACAUGAGUUGUCAUUUGAUUAAACAGGGUCACAUCAUUAGAGAAUGAUGUGAUUGACUUGACCCAUUCCGUUAGCAUAACACUUGAUCGUUUAGUUUGUUGCUAUUGCUUUCUUCAUGACUUAUACAUGUUCCUAUGACUAUGAGAUUAUGCAACUCCCGUUUAUCGGAGGAACACUUUGUGUGCUACCAAACGUCACAACAUAACUGGGUGAUUAUAAAGGUGCUCUACAGGUGUCUCCGAAGGUACUUGUUGGGUUGGCGUAUUUCGAGAUUAGGAUUUGUCACUCCGAUUGUUGGAGAGGUAUCUCUGGGCCCACUCGGUAAUGCACACCACUAUAAGCCUUGCAAGCAUUGCAACUAAUGAGUUAGUUGCGGGAUGAUGUGUUACGGAACGAGUAAAGAUACUUGCCGGUAACGAGAUUGAACUAGGUAUUGAGAUACCGACGAUCGAAUCUCGGGCAAGAACAUAUCGAUGACAAAGGGAACAACGUAUGUUGUUAUGCGGUUUGACUGAUAAAGAUCUUCGUAGAAUAUGUAGGAGGCAAUAUGAGCAUCCAGGUUCCGCUAUUGGUUAUUGACCGUAGACGUGUCUCGGUCAUGUCUACAUAGUUCUCGAACCCAUAGGGUCCGCACGCUUAAAGUUCGAUGACGGUUAUAUUAUGAGUUUAUGUGUUUUGAUGUACCGAAGGAGUUCGGAGUCCCGAAUGAGAUCGGGGACAUGAAGAGGAAUCUCGAAAUGGUCGAGACGUAAAAAUCGAUAUAUUGGACGACUAUAUUCAGACAUCGGAUAGGUUCCGAGUGAUUCGGGUAUUUUCAGGAGUACCGGGGAGUUACGGGAAUUCAUAUUGGGCCUUAAUGGGCCAUACGGGAAAGGAGAGAAAGGCCUCAAAGGGUGGCCGCACCCAUCCCCAUGGGCUGGUCCGAAUUGGACUAGGGAGGGGGGCGCCCCCUUCCUUCCUUCCCUCCUACUCCUAAUACUUGGUAGGACUCCCCUAGGGCGCACCAUAGAGAGGGCCGGCCCUUCCCCUCCUCCACUCCUUUAUAUACGGGGGCAGAGGGCACCCCAAAGACACAACAAUCGAUCUCUUGAUCUCUUAGCCGUGUGCGGUGCCCCUCUCCACCAUAAUCCACCUCGGUCAUAUCGUAGCAUUGCUUAGGCGAAGCCCUGCUUCAGUAGAAUAUCAUCAUCGUCACCACGCCGUCAUGCUGACAAAACUCUCCCUCAACACUCGACUAGAUCGGAGUUCGAGGGACGUCAUCGAGUUGAACGCGUGCAGAACUCGGAGGUGCCGUGCGUUCGGUACUUGAUCGGUCGGAUCGUGAAGACGCACGACUACAUCAACCGCGUUGUGCUAACACUUCCGCUUUCGGUCUACGAGGGUACGUAGACAACACUCUCCCUUCUCGUUGCUAUGCAUCACCAUGAUCUUGCGUGUGCGUAGGAAAUUUUUGAAAUUACUACGUUCCCCAACAUACGGGAUUGAAGAGGGACCAAUAUAUCUUAAUGCUAUGGUUGGGUUUUACCUUAAUGAACAUUAGUAGUUGCGGAUGCUUGCUAAUAGUUCCAAUCAUAAGUGCAUAGAAUUCCAAGUCAGGGAUGACAUGCUUGUUGGGGAACGUAGUAAUUUCAAAAUUUUCCUACGCACACGCAAGAUCAUGUGAUGCAUAGCAACGAGAUGGGAGAGUGUUGUCUACGUACCCAACGCAGACCGACUGCGGAAGCGAUCACACAACGUAGAGGAAGUAGUCGUACGUCUUCACGAUCCAACCGAUCAAGCACCGAAACUAUGGCACCUCCGAGUUCGAGCACACGUUCAGCUCGAUGACGAUCCCCAGACUCCGAUACAGCAAAGUGUCGGGGAAGAGUUCCGUCAGCACGGCGGCGUGGUGACGAUCUUGAUGUACUACUGCAGCAGGGCUUCGCCUAAUCUCCGCUACAGUAUUAUUGAGGUAUAUGGUGGCAGGGGGCACCGCACACGGCUAAGGAAUAGAUCACGUGGAUCAACUUGUGUGUCUAGAGGUGUCCCCUGCCUCUGUAUAUAAAGGAGCCAAGGGGGAGGGCUGGCCGGCCAAGGAGGGGGGGCGCAGGAGAGUCCUACUCCCUCUGGGAGUAGGAUUCCCCCCCCCCCCCCAAUCCUAGUCCAACUAGGAUUCCUCGGUGGGGAAAAGAGGAGGAGGGGGCCGGCCACCUCUCCUAGUCCUAAUAGGACUAGGGGAAGGGGGAGGCACGCAGCCCAUCUAGGGCAGCCCCUUCUCUUUUCCACGAAGGCCCACUAUGGCCCAUAUAGCUCCCGAGGGGUUCCGGUAACCCUCCCGGUACUCCGGUAAAAUCCCGAUUUCACCCGGAACACUUCCGAUGUCCAAACAUAGGCUUCCAAUAUAUCAAUCUUUACGUCUCGACCAUUUCGAGACUCCUCGUCAUGUCCGUGAUCACAUCCGGGACUCCGAAAAACCUUCGGUACAUCAAAAUGUAUAAACUCAUAAUAUAACUGUCAUCGUAACCUUAAGCGUGCGGACCCUACGGGUUCGAGAACAAUGUAGACAUGACCGAGACACGUCUCCGGUCAAUAACCAAUAGCGGGACCUGGAUGCCCAUAUUGGCUCCUACAUAUUCUACGAAGAUCUUUAUCGGUCAGACCGCAUAACAACAUACGUUGUUCCCUUUGUCAUCGGUAUGUUACUUGCCUGAGAUUCGAUCGUCGGUAUCCAAUACCUAGUUCAAUCUCGUUACCGGCAAGUCUCUUUACUCGUUCCGUAAUACAUCAUCUCACAACUAACAUAUUAGUUGUAAUGCUUGCAAGGCUUAUGUGAUGUGUAUUACCGAGAGGUCCCAGAGAUACCUCUCCGACAAUCGGAGUGACAAAUCCUAAUCUCGAAAUACGCCAACCCAACAUCUACCUUUGGAGACACCUGUAAUGCUCCUUUAUAAUCACCCAGUUACGUUGUGACGUUUCGUAGCACCCAAAGUGUUCCUCCGGCAAACGGGAGUUGCAUAAUCUCAUAGUCAUAGGAACAUGUAUAAGUCAUGAAGAAAAGCAAUAGCAACAUACUAAACGAUCGGGUGCUAAGCUAAUGGAUUGGGUCAUGUCAAUCAGAUCAUUCAACUAAUGAUGUGACCUCGUUAAUCAAAUAACAACUCAUUGUUCAUGGUUAGGAAACAUAACCAUCUUUGAUUAACGAGCUAGUCAAGUAGAGGCAUACUAGUGACACUUUGUUUGUCUAUGUAUUCACACAUGUAUUAUGUUUCCGGUUAAUACAAUUCUAGCAUGAAUAAUAAAUAUUUAUCAUGAUUAUAAGGAAAUAAAUAAUAACUUUAUUAUUGCCUCUAGGGCAUAUUUCCUUCAAUGCUAGCAGUGGCCUCUCCCACAUAAUACUUGCUAUCAGUCUAGUAAAGUAGUCAAUUGCUUAAGGGGCAAUUUCGCAACUCCUACCACCAAUUUUCCACACUCGCUAUAUUUAUUUUAUUGUUUCUUUACCUAAAUAGCCCCUACUUUUUAUUUACGUACUCUUUAUUAUCUUGCAAACCUAUCCAACAACACCUACAAAGUACUUCUAGUUUCAUACUUGUUCUUGGUAAAGUGAACGUCAAGCGUGCGUAGAGUUGUAUCGGUGGUUGAUAAAACUUGAGGGAAUAUUUGUUCUACCUUUAGCUCCUCAUUGGGUUCGACACUCUUACUUAUCGAAAACUGUUGCGAUCCCCUAUACUUGUGGGUUAUCAAGACCUUUUUCUGGCGCCGUUGCUGGGGAGCAAUAGCGUGGGGUGAAUAUUCUCGUGUGUGCUUGUUUGCUUUAUCACUAAGUAAUUUUUAUUUGCUGUUCUUAGUUGUUUUCUACCUUUAGUUAUGGGUAGGAAACGUAAAAUACCUAAAAAAUUAGCUGUACCUACUGAACCAAUGGUUGAAGAACCACUCAAAAUCUAUCACACUGUUGAAGCUUUUUACUUGGAUCAUCUUCGAUCCCUUUGUGCUCGUGCCGAAACCCCAACUAGCUUAGUUGAGGGCAAAUCUUUAGAUGAGCAUGCUUGUUAUGUGCGACACCGUAUAUCUAAAAAAGGGAAACUAUUAUGGGGUCAAAUUCAACGUUUGCAAUGCUAUGCUUGGAAUUUAUGUGAAAUAUAUGAUUUUACUUGUUGUUCUGAAAACCCUAAGAAACACCUUCCCUAUCAAUGUGAGUUUAGUAAUAAUGGAAUCGUAUCUUUGUAUGCUAAGGGUGUUUACAAUUACUAUGAUGUUCAACAAAUUGAAGAAUUUGUUGCUUUUAAGGGUGCUUAUGAAAUUGCUUCUUUGAUUGAAAAGUAUGAUGCUACUUUUCACAAAUCUGAAUUUUUUUCCAUACUUGAAUAUUGUUAUGAGAAUUAUGCUUCUAAUGCCUAUGUUAAACUAUAUAUUGAGGAAUACUCCGCUGACCAAGGAGAGACUAAUAUUUUGCUGGAGUCUAUGGAAGAAGAAAUUGAUGAAACUGUGAGCUCAUUGGAUGAAAAAGAUGAGGAGGAGAGCGAGCAACAAAAGGAUGAAGAUCGGAUUGAUCACCCGUGCCCACCUUCUAAUGAGAGUAACUCUUCAACUCAUACAUUGUUUAAUUCCCCUUCGUGCUUACCGAAGGAUGAUUGCUAUGAUGACUUUUAUGAUCCCAUUGAUUCUCUUGAAAUAUCCCUUUUUGAUGAUGCUUGCUAUGCUUAUGGCCAAGAUGCCAAUAUGAAUUAUGCUUAUGGAGAUGAACUUGCUAUAGUUCCUUAUGUUAAAUAUGAAAUUGUUGCUAUUGCACCCACGCAUGAUAGUCCUAUUAUCUUUUUGAAUUCUCCCGAUUAUACUAUAUCGGAGAAGUUUGCACUUAUUAAGGAUUAUAUUGAUGGGUUGCCUUUUACCGUUGCACAUGAUGAUUUCGAUAAAUAUAAUAUGCAUGUGCUUGCUGCUCCUACUUGCAAUUAUUAUGAGAGAGGAACUAUAUCUCCACCUCUCUAUGUUUCCAACAUGAUAAAAUAGCAAGAAACUGUUUAUACUAUGCAUUGGCCUUUACUUUGUGUGCAUGAAUUGUUCUUUUAUGACAUGCCGAUGCAUAGGAAGAGAAUUAGACUUCGUCAUUACAUGAUACAUGUUACUUUAUGCUCACUACUAAAUAACAAAUCAUUGUUAAUUAAAAUUGGCUUUGAUAUACCUUGGGAUCCGGGUGGAUUCACUACUUGAGCACUAUAUGCCUAGCUUAAUGGCUUUAAAGAAAGCGCUGCCAGGGAGACAACCCGGAAGUUUCAGAGAGUCAUUUAUUUCUGUUGAGUGCUUUCAUAUAGUUUAAAAACAACAAAAAGAAAGAGGGGAACCCAAAACUUUUUCAAAAAGGAAAGCGAAAGUGAGAAAGACAAGCAUUGUUGAAGUGGGAGAGCUCCUUGAAGUUUGUUCAUGCUCACGGCAACUUUGUGAAUCUUGAUUACAGAAACUUUUAAAUAAAAAUAAUUAUCCCCUUGUACAAUUCCAUUGUAUUAUAAAAAUAAUGUGCCAAGGUUUGCCUUUAGGAUGUUUACAUUUGCUUGAUGGUUUGUACGGUGCAGGACAGAAACUUUGGCUGUAGUGCGCGAUUUUACAUUUUUAGCUGAAACGUCAAAUGGUUCUGAUUCUUUUUGCACUGUCUUCCUAUUCAAAUUGUUUAUUUUUCUUAAUUUUGGUAGAAUUUUUCAGGUAUGAAAAUUAUGGUGAAUGUUCAAAUUAUUACAGACUGUUCUGUUUUAGACAGAUUCUGUUUUUGAUGCAUAGUUUGCUUGUUUUGAUGAAACUAUCGAUUCAUAUUAGUGGAUUAAGCCAUGAAAAAGUUAUACUACAGUAGAAACAAUGAAAAAACAAAAUAUUAAUUGGUUUGCAAUAGUACUUAUAGUGGUGAUUUGCUUUAUUAUACUAACGGAUCUUACCGAGUUUUCUGUUGAAGUUUUGUGUGGAUGAAGUGUUCGAUGAUCGAGAAGGUCUCGAUGUGAGAAGAAGGAAGAGAGGCAAGAGCUCAAUCUUGGGGAUGCCCAAGGCACCCCAAGUAAAUAUUCAAGGAGACUCAAGCGUCUAAGUUUGGGGAUGCUGGGGAGGCAUCCCCUCUUUCUUCAACAAGUAUCGGUAUGUUUUCUAAUUCGUUUCGUUCAUGCGAUAUGUGCAAUCUUGGAGCGUCUUUGCUUUAGUUUUCAUGUUUCUUUUUUGCACCAUGCUGGUAUGAGAUAGUCCUUGGUUGAUUUAUAGAAUGCUCUUUGCACUUCACUUAUAUUCUUUGAGUAUGGCUUUAUAGAAUGCUUCAUGUGCUUCACUUAUAUCAUUUGAAGUUUGGAUUGCCUGUUUCUCUUCACUUAGACAACCGUCAUUUGUAGAAUGCUCUUUUGCUUCACUUAUAUUUGUUAGAGCGUGAGCAUAUCUUUUGUAGAAAGAAUUAAACUCUCUUGCUUCACUUAUAUCUAUUUAGAGAGAUGACAGGAACUGGUCAUUCACAUGGUUAGUCAUAAAAUCCUACAUAAACUUGUAGAUCGCUGAAUAUGAUAUGUUUGAUUCCUUGCAAUAGUUUUGCGAUAUAAAGGUGGUGAUAUUAGAGUCGUGCUAGUUGAGUAAUUGUGAAAUUGAGAAAUACUUGUGCUGAGGUUUGCAAGUCCCGUAGCAUGCACGUAUGGUGAACCGUUAUGUAAUGAAGUCGGAGCAUGAGGUGUUUAUUGAUUGUCUUCCUUAUGAGUGACGGUCGGGGACGAGCGAUGGUCUUUUCCUACCAAUCUAUCCCCCUAGGAGCAUGCGCGUAGUACUUUGUUUCGAUGAUUAAUAUAUUUUUGCAAUAAGUAUGUGAGUUCUUUAUGACUAAUGUUGAGUUCAUGGAUUAUACGCACUCUCACCCUUCCAUCAUUGCUAGCCUCUCUAGUACCACGAAACUUUCGCCGGUACCAUAAACCCACCAUAUACCUUCCUCAAAACAGCCACCAUACCUACCUAUUAUAACAUUUCCAUAGCCAUUUCGAGAUAUAUUGCCAUGCAACUUCCAUCAUCAUCAUAUACAUGACUUGAGCAUUUAUUGCCAUAUUGCUUUGCAUGAUCGUAAGAUAGCUAGCAUGAUGUUUUCAUGGCUUGCCCGUUUUUUUGAUGUCAUUGCUACGCUAGAUCAUUGCACAUCCCGGUACACCGCCGGAGGCAUUCAUAUAGAGUCAUAUCUUUGUUCUAGUAUCGAGUUGUAAUAUCGAGUUGUAAGUAAAUAAAAGUGUGAUGAUCAUCAUUAUUAGAGCAUUGCCCCAGUGAGGAAAGGAUGAUGGAGACUAUGAUUCCCCCAUAAGUCGGGAUGAGACUCCGGACUUUAAAAAAAAGAGGCCAAAGAAGCCCAAAUAAAAAAAAGAGGCCAAAGAAGCCCACCAAAAAAAAA